CUUUAGUAAACAAGGAAGAAUGCAGAGGAACACUACAGUGCUGUUAUACAAACACAGUGCUUAAGAAAGUGGUGAAAUGAGAAGGAGGGCAGACCCAACAACCAUGUAAAGUACUCACACCUUUGCAGUAAGAUAUGAAAAGAACAAGCAAGUUGGAGGAAUUUGCUGCACAACUCAGGAUGCUGAAACAAAUAAGUCAUCCAUCUGGUCUUGUGACCCAUUUUCAUUCAACAACCAGAAACCAGAAAGAAGAGUGGAUCAGAAAAUCAAGAUUCCAGUCAGUGAUGAAAUCACUAAGGAUUAUCAUUUCUGAUUUAUGGUUUAUGUCAGCCAUUGCAAAGCUUCUUUAGCUACAGUUUCAUUUGUUUAACAAGAAGUAUUUUAUACAGGCAAUUAUAAAGAGCUUGCAGCAAGGAAAAUCCCCAAAACACGUUUGGCAAGCAUUUAAAAGAAACAAGCACAGCUUUACCAAAAAAAAAAAAAAAAAAAAAAAAAACGAGGAAACUAAGGUGCUCAAAUAUACUUCUGAAUGCUUUAAUACUGACUGUUUUAAAGGUCAAAAGCAUAUUUGAGCUGCUGAGUUUCCUCGAUUUUUUAUGAUGCUUUGCUUGUUUAUUAAUUGUAAAGAGCUUGCUGUUUUUAUUGUUUAUAUUGCUUAAAAUAGAUUCCAGUGAGGAGAGCCAUGUAUCUGAGCUUUAGAGAGCUAACAAGAAAGGGUCUGUAUUAUUUCCGUGAAAGACAUCAUCAUCGAAUCCCUGUUCAUCGACACAACUACAUUAAAUGCUGCAUUCAGCAAACUAUCGCUACAUCAAAGUUUUUCUCUGGGAAAGUAACUAGGUGGCAGGCAUUGUGAAUUAGCCCUUUUCCCCACUGUGCUGUGAUCUCAGAGUUGAUAUAUAUAUAUAUAUAUAUAUAUAUAUAUAUAUAUAUAUAUAUAUAAGUAGGGGGGUGUGGGGGUUCUGAAGCCCACCUUCAUGAGUGUAAAAUUAUGUAGUUCAUAUUCCGGUUGCUCUGCUGUCCAAGUAGUUUCUUUCCUUAGGAAAGAAGUUCAGUGAUUGUAAUGUUAUCUGAAUGACUCUUCGAUGGGUACUGAUCGAUAAAUAGGGAUUUGAUGGAGACGUCCUUUGCGGAAAUAAUAUAGACCCAACAAGAAAGAUUGCCUCCACAAAUUAUAGCAACUCUACCACCUUUGUGAAGUUGGUAAUUUCUAAGGAGGCACAAUACUGCUACUAGUUUCUUAAUAUCUCUGUGACUGCUAAGAUGUCUGACAUAUAUAAUGUUAUCUACCUAUAAGCAAUGCACAUUUUAUUUUUAAUAAAAUAAAAACACAGAUGACAACUGCCAUGCACUAGAAAAAUAAAAAUAAAAACAAACCAAGUGUAACAUGGUUGAAAACUUUAUUGACUGGUGCCAGGAAUAAACACUUGCAUCUGAACAUAAAAUACUUCAUCAGAUUCCACUGAAAAAUCCAUGCAUUCAGACUUAUAUAACUAUUAAAAUAUCA
Molecule: long non-coding RNA, 1504 nt
Organism: Protopterus annectens (West African lungfish)
Lineage: Eukaryota; Metazoa; Chordata; Ceratodontiformes; Protopteridae
Exons: 3
Source: RefSeq, a predicted model, not a curated record